This 1346-nucleotide ribosomal RNA is filed under the name uncultured bacterium. Its description in RNAcentral is "partial 16S ribosomal RNA". It matches the Rfam family "Bacterial small subunit ribosomal RNA", at positions 28 to 1381 of the family's 1533-position model. The record is from RNAcentral.
GACGAACGCUGGCGGCGUGCUUAACACAUGCAAGUCGAACGGAAAGGCCCUGCUUUUGUGGGGUGCUCGAGUGGCGAACGGGUGAGUAACACGUGAGUAACCUGCCCUUGACUUUGGGAUAACUUCAGGAAACUGGGGCUAAUACCGGAUAGGAGCUCCUGCUGCAUGGUGGGGGUUGGAAAGUUUCGGCGGUUGGGGAUGGACUCGCGGCUUAUCAGCUUGUUGGUGGGGUAGUGGCUUACCAAGGCUUUGACGGGUAGCCGGCCUGAGAGGGUGACCGGCCACAUUGGGACUGAGGUACGGCCCAGACUCCUACGGGAGGCAGCAGUGGGGAAUAUUGCACAAUGGGCGGAAGCCUGAUGCAGCAACGCCGCGUGCGGGAUGACGGCCUUCGGGUUGUAAACCGCUUUCGCCUGUGACGAAGCGUGAGUGACGGUAAUGGGUAAAGAAGCACCGGCUAACUACGUGCCAGCAGCCGCGGUGAUACGUAGGGUGCGAGCGUUGUCCGGAUUUAUUGGGCGUAAAGGGCUCGUAGGUGGUUGAUCGCGUCGGAAGUGUAAUCUUGGGGCUUAACCCUGAGCGUGCUUUCGAUACGGGUUGACUUGAGGAAGGUAGGGGAGAAUGGAAUUCCUGGUGGAGCGGUGGAAUGCGCAGAUAUCAGGAGGAACACCAGUGGCGAAGGCGGUUCUCUGGGCCUUUCCUGACGCUGAGGAGCGAAAGCGUGGGGAGCGAACAGGCUUAGAUACCCUGGUAGUCCACGCUGUAAACGGUGGGUACUAGGUGUGGGGUCCAUUCCACGGGUUCCGUGCCGUAGCUAACGCUUUAAGUACCCCGCCUGGGGAGUACGGCCGCAAGGCUAAAACUCAAAGGAAUUGACGGGGCCCCGCACAAGCGGCGGAGCAUGCGGAUUAAUUCGAUGCAACGCGUAGAACCUUACCUGGGUUUGACAUGGAUCGGGAGUGCUCAGAGAUGGGUGUGCCUCUUUUGGGGUCGGUUCACAGGUGGUGCAUGGCUGUCGUCAGCUCGUGUCGUGAGAUGUUGGGUUAAGUCCCGCAACGAGCGCAACCCUUGUUCACUGUUGCCAGCACGUUAUGGUGGGGACUCAGUGGAGACCGCCGGGGUCAACUCGGAGGAAGGUGGGGAUGACGUCAAGUCAUCAUGCCUCUUAUGUCCAGGGCUUCACGCAUGCUACAAUGGCUGGUACAGAGAGUGGCGAGCCUGUGAGGGUGAGCGAAUCUCGGAAAGCCGGUCUCAGUUCGGAUUGGGGUCUGCAACUCGACCUCAUGAAGUCGGAGUCGCUAGUAAUCGCAGAUCAGCAACGCUGCGGUGAAUACGUUCCCGGGGCU